Molecule: long non-coding RNA, 223 nt
Organism: Alexandromys fortis (reed vole)
Lineage: Eukaryota; Metazoa; Chordata; Mammalia; Rodentia; Cricetidae
Exons: 3
Source: RefSeq, a predicted model, not a curated record
GAGAAACCAGGCUCUUGAGUCCUUGUCCUGCAACCCUAAUCGAUCACUGAUGCACUUAUGUGGUGAUUCAUUAAAGUCUUUAGAAGCCAUAAGUGCUGUCUCUCUCCUUCCUCGUGGCACAGAACAGGGAGGAUCCCUCUACAAAGCCUUGAUGUCAUGGACCUCAAUAUGUACACCAGGAACACGCACCUUUGCAUACGUCGUGUUGUCUGCGAACUGCGAC